AGAGUUUGAUCCUGGCUCAGGACGAACGCUGGCGGCGUGCUUAACACAUGCAAGUCGAACGGUAACAGAAAGAGCUUGCUCUUUGCUGACGAGUGGCGCACGGGUGAGUAAUAUAUAGUUAACGUACCCCUAAGCCUGGGAUAGCCACUGGAAACGGUGAUUAAUACUGGAUAUUCCUUCUACUUAUUAAGAGUAGUCGGGAAAGGUUUUUCGCUAAGGGAUCGGACUAUAUUGUAUCAGCUAGUUGGUGAGGUAAGAGCUCACCAAGGCAAUGACACAUAGCGGGUUUGAGAGGAUGAUCCGCCACACUGGUACUGAGACACGGACCAGACUCCUACGGGAGGCAGCAGUGAGGAAUAUUGCACAAUGGAGGAAACUCUGAUGCAGCAACGCCGCGUGGAGGAUGACGCAUUUCGGUGUGUAAACUCCUUUUAUAAGAGAAGAAAAUGACGGUAUCUUAUGAAUAAGUCCCGGCUAACUCCGUGCCAGCAGCCGCGGUAAUACGGAGGGGACAAGCGUUAUUCGGAAUCACUGGGCGUAAAGGACGCGUAGGCGGGUUAUUAAGUCGGGUGUGAAAUCCAAUGGCUCAACCAUUGAACU
Molecule: ribosomal RNA, 600 nt
Filed under: uncultured bacterium
Lineage: Bacteria
Description: bacterial SSU rRNA
Rfam family: Bacterial small subunit ribosomal RNA
Source: RNAcentral